UACGGAGGGUGCAAGCGUUAAUCGGAAUUACUGGGCGUAAAGCGCACGCAGGCGGUUGAUUAAGUUAGAUGUGAAAUCCCCGGGCUUAACCUGGGAAUGGCCUCUAAGACUGUCAAGCUUGAGUCUUGUAGAGGGGGGUAGAAUUCCAUGUGUAGCGGUGAAAUGCGUAGAUAUUAGGAGGAAUACCGGUGGCGAAGGCGGCCCCCUGGAUAAAUACUGACGCUCAGGUGCGAAAGCGUGGGGAGCAAACAGG
RNAcentral lists this ribosomal RNA (253 nucleotides) under uncultured bacterium. RNAcentral describes it as "partial 16S ribosomal RNA". It matches the Rfam family "Bacterial small subunit ribosomal RNA", at positions 524 to 776 of the family's 1533-position model. The record is from RNAcentral.